UUUUGGCUAAUGGAGGCCUUCCUUGCAUUUGAGCUUGGUUGGUGGCUAUUAGUUGGGUGGUUUCGGGGAUGUCUACCGUAAAGGUGCAUGAGUGGUGUUUGGUUUGUUACGGGUGGUUGGCUCUUUGCUUGCGCAACAACUUCCACCUGGCAUACCUCUUCAGUUUUGUGUCAAUGCUUGUAUCGCACUGAAUGCAUGGUGGGUUUCUUGUGUUGCAUGCCUAAUUGAUGGUAUCGUUUGACGAAUUGAUGUCUAUUUUCGUCUUGUGUUGCACAUGCGAUGCGAGAUGAACCUUAAAGUAGCCUUUGUGAUCCACUCUUUUGAUGCACAUGCAUCGAUUUUGUGGCUCAUUGAGUGUUUGCUUGGUCUCAUGGAUAUGGAACCUUGUGUGGGCAUGUGAUCUUUUAGUAGCUCCUUGUUUGCCCUAGUUAAGCUUUUCAAAUACGAUUUCCUAUCAUGUUCUAACGUGGUAGGCUAUAUCGAAUAUGAAUG
RNAcentral lists this unclassified non-coding RNA (492 nucleotides) under Odixia angusta. RNAcentral describes it as "partial external transcribed spacer". Lineage: Eukaryota; Viridiplantae; Streptophyta; Magnoliopsida; Asterales; Asteraceae. The record is from RNAcentral.